UACGGAGGGUGCGAGCGUUGUCCGGAAUCACUGGGCGUAAAGGGCGCGUAGGCGGCGCGGGCAGUCAACGGUGAAAGCUUGGGGCUCAACCCCGAGUCGGCCGUCGAUACUCCCGUGCUUGAGCACUGUAGAGGCAGGUGGAAUUCCGGGUGUAGCGGUGGAAUGCGUAGAGAUCCGGAAGAACACCGGUGGCAAAGGCGGCCUGCUGGGCAGAAGCUGACGCUGAGGCGCGACAGCGUGGGGAGCAAACAGG
This 253-nucleotide ribosomal RNA is filed under the name uncultured bacterium. Its description in RNAcentral is "partial 16S ribosomal RNA". It matches the Rfam family "Bacterial small subunit ribosomal RNA", at positions 524 to 776 of the family's 1533-position model. The record is from RNAcentral.